Long non-coding RNA from Macrobrachium nipponense, 418 nucleotides. RefSeq lists it as uncharacterized. The record is from RefSeq and is a predicted model, not a curated record. NCBI's taxonomy places the organism in Eukaryota, Metazoa, Arthropoda, Malacostraca, Decapoda, Palaemonidae. The transcript is spliced from 4 exons.
UUUACUUCCUCACUUGGUGAAACCUGUAGGAGUUAGGGCUCAUCAUCGGCUUUAUUUUUCCAUUAGAAUUACCUUAUUGCGGCCCCCCAUACAUUGAAGGAGGCCAGCUGCUUCAGCCUUCCAUUGAAAAGCUGAGUGACCAGCUAAAUUUCCAGAUCUGGAGGAGAUAGUAUUUCCAGACUACUUAAGGGUCAUAUUCAUUGGAUCGUUGUCAGGCACUUCAAUUGUCCCAGUCGAAGGAUAGUCUGGUAAACAGUCCCAAGCUUUUACAGAUUUAACGGCAAGAGCGCCUCCCUGUACGGCGGUGUGGAGGUUGUUCAAGGGGACGCUGCCCCCGGAGGACGACGAGCCGGCGUCGUGAGCGGCGGUCUGCAUUGCCAGGACGACCUUGAUCACCCGCUGCCCGCCACCGCUACCA